Molecule: ribosomal RNA, 490 nt
Filed under: uncultured bacterium
Lineage: Bacteria
Description: partial 16S ribosomal RNA
Rfam family: Bacterial small subunit ribosomal RNA
Source: RNAcentral
AUUGAACGCUGGCGGCAGGCCUAACACAUGCAAGUCGAACGGUAACAGGAAACAGCUUGCUGUUUCGCUGACGAGUGGCGGACGGGUGAGUAAUGUCUGGGAAACUGCCUGAUGGAGGGGGAUAACUACUGGAAACGGUAGCUAAUACCGCAUAACGUCGCAAGACCAAAGAGGGGGACCUUCGGGCCUCUUGCCAUCAGAUGUGCCCAGAUGGGAUUAGCUAGUAGGUGGGGUAACGGCUCACCUAGGCGACGAUCCCUAGCUGGUCUGAGAGGAUGACCAGCCACACUGGAACUGAGACACGGUCCAGACUCCUACGGGAGGCAGCAGUGGGGAAUAUUGCACAAUGGGCGCAAGCCUGAUGCAGCCAUGCCGCGUGUAUGAAGAAGGCCUUCGGGUUGUAAAGUACUUUCAGCGGGGAGGAAGGGAGUAAAGUUAAUACCUUUGCUCAUUGACGUUACCCGCAGAAGAAGCACCGGCUAACUCCGCG